CAAACUACUAAUACUACUGGUAG
RNAcentral lists this microRNA (23 nucleotides) under Gallus gallus (chicken). Its description in RNAcentral is "microRNA Ros-gga". The record is from RNAcentral. Lineage: Eukaryota; Metazoa; Chordata; Aves; Galliformes; Phasianidae.